AGAACACGAGCAGGAGCAAGGUGUCGGGUGAUGGGACGUCGGGAACAACGCAGCCCCUGGGAGCACAGCAGGCCCCCACAGCAGUGGGACAGGUCCCCCCAGAGCCAGCAGUGCCCCACAGGGCAGCACAGGGGUCUUGUCAGGGGACCUUGCAAGGUCUGCCCCAGGUAUCUCAUCCUUGCAGAUAGCUCUGCUCCUGCAUUGUGUUUUCAGAGCACAAGUCAGCAUUUCAAGGGCCUAAUUCUGAGUAACAGUUUGAUGUGAGAUGGGCCUGCUUCUCUUCUUCCCUUCCCAGCCCUUAGCCCUUUUAGAAACAUUCAAGGUGGCAUGCAGAGGUCAGGUUCCUUCCGUGUGGCUGGAGAGAAGAGCUGUGUUCAGCUUUGCAGAGAACAGGUUACCUGUGAGCAGGACAACCCCAAAUACGGGAAAAAAAUUACAUCUGGCAACAUCUGGGAACCAGAAGAAGCCUAAAGCAGAAAGCAGAGAGGGAGGAUGUGUCAGAGAUUGACACCAUUAAGUUUUUUUAAAGCUAAUCUAUCUCUACCUUCACAGUGGUAGGUGGAAGUGGAAAGAAAACUCAUUGUGUGUUUAAAAAACAGGUCAUCUUCAAGAAAUGUCACAGAAACCUUGAGCAGACAUGAGCAAACAGCCCUGGGGGAGUAAUUUGUCUUUGCUGUCAAGAGGAAAAUUAAGACUCCAGGGGACACAGAGGCUGGGUUUGAUGGAUGCGUGAAGCAGAAGGCAAGCGGGUCAUCAUUCCUGUCCAGCAGGAAAACAGGUUCUUCCCCUGGAGAAAAGUGACUCUUUGCACCUGUGGGGAGGAGAGAGGCAAUGAGCAAAUAAAUGGUGGAAAGUCCCUACAAUCUCAUUUGGAAUUGACAGCAAUAAGCUCACUCAGGAGCUGGGGGAUGGCUGUGCUGCCUGACACCUUUGUGGC
Molecule: non-coding RNA, 937 nt
Organism: Cyanistes caeruleus (blue tit)
Lineage: Eukaryota; Metazoa; Chordata; Aves; Passeriformes; Paridae
Source: RefSeq, a predicted model, not a curated record